Gopherus flavomarginatus (Mexican gopher tortoise) is the source of this 2447-nucleotide long non-coding RNA. RefSeq lists it as uncharacterized. NCBI's taxonomy places the organism in Eukaryota, Metazoa, Chordata, Testudines, Testudinidae. The transcript has 3 exons. The record is from RefSeq and is a predicted model, not a curated record.
CUCUCCGCCCCUCCCCCCUUAUCAGCGGUUCCAAGGGGGAUUGACACCCUCCCCCCUCUCAGGCCCGUUCCCGCUACCUCCCUCAUUCCUCAGUGCUAAUUGGAGGGGGAUAAAAAUCUAUUCUCCGUCGCUGAUUGGCUGGUGAUCCCAUCCAUCAGCUGGCGAUGGAGGGCAAUCCGCCGUCCGAUUGGUCAAGGAUGGGAAGGAGGCGGUCCAGAGAGAGAGUUCUGUGUAAUUAGCAACCAAUCUUCUCCCGGAUCCCGGACACCCCUUAUCUACGUCUAGGAGGAGGAAAAUAUCCUUUGUUAUUCUACAAAACCCCAUAUCUUUGACUUUGAAGCAGAAAUGAUAAAAGCCUGGGAAUGAAAAACAAUCAAAGAUUAACACACACAAAGAGCGAAGUACUGAAGUGGAAAGAGCAAAAUGAUCCCCUUAGGACUGGAUGAAACAACACCCCGCAGGUGGAAGAGAGGCCAUGUUUGUACCCUACCUGGGGAGGUGGAGAAGUAUAGAAUGUCAGGGUUGAAAGUCAUCUAGUCCCACCCCCUGCUCAAAGCAGGACUAAUCCCCAGACAGAUUUUUGCCCCAGAUCCCUAAAUGCUCCCCUCAAGGAUUGAACUCACAGUCCUGGGUUAACAGUCUAAUACUCACACCACUGAGCUAUCCCUCCCCAUCACAAGGGAGGGGCCACUGAUGAGAUUUGGGGAGAGAAGAAGAGAAAGCGAGACAGCAGGAAGAGAAACUCAGAGAGGCAGCGAAUCAGAAGCUGACAAAGAGAGAGAGAGGUGGGAAGAGACAGAGAAACUCAUGCCAGCUCUACUCUAUAGAGUUAGGUUGAUACAAGGCAGCUUACAUCAACCUGUGUAAGCAUCUACAGUACAAUGUCGCUCCCACCGAUGUAACUCGUCCGUUAUGCCGACUUAAUAACUCCACCUCAAUGAGAGGCAUAGCACAUAGGUCAACAUAGUUGGGCAACAGUGUCAGUGCAGACACUGCGUUACUUACGUCGAGAUUAGUGGUUUUCACUAGGUUUCCCACAAUGCCGCACCAUGACCACUCUGGUCAGCGUUUUGAACUCUGCUGCCCAGUGGCCAGGUACACAGGCACAUGCCCCUCCCCUUUUAAAGGCCUACAAAUUUUUGAAAUUCUAUUUCCUUUUGCUUGGUGUGAAGAGCUCACAUAGCAACUGCCUAGGGUGACCAGACAACAAAUGUGAAAAAUUGGGACAGGGUAGGGGGGUAAUAGGAGCCUAUAUAAGAAAAAAGACCCAUAAAUCGGGACUGUCCCUAUAAAAUCAGGACAUCUGGUCACCCUACAACUGCCCAGCUGACUAUGCUGGCUCCACACAGCAAACACGCUCCUGCCUGGCGUACACAGGAGGUGAUGGAUCUCCUGGGUCUGUGGGGAGAAGAGGCUGUGCAGACACAGCUCUGAUUCAGGUGUAGAUACUUUGUCAUCUACAAGCAGAUCACUCAGAUCAGGUGGGAGAAGGGCUACAAGAGGAACACGCAUCAGUGCUGUGUGAAAGUCAAGGAGCUGUGGCAGGCAUACCAGAAGGCAAAAGAGGCAAAUGGCCACUCUGGUGCAGAGCUGCAGACAUGCUACUUCUCCAAGGAGCUGCAUGUCAUUCUCAGGGGCAAACCCCCACCCCCCACCCUCCAGGGUCCCAUGGAUACUUCGGAGGAGCUGGAGUCACAGGCCACCACAGUGAACCCUGAGAACCAGGUGUUGAACAAGGAACAAGAGAAGGAGAAUGGGGGGCAAGCAAUGAGGGGAUCCAGUAAUGCUGUGAUCCAGGACCCCUUUUGACUCCUGAGCAGCUGAGCGAGUCCCAGAAGUCCAGCGCUGGCAAGACUGAUCCAGGGGAAGGAACCUCUGCUGCAAAAGUGGCCUUGAGGGUCUCUCCAUCCACACCAGAAGAGUGGCUCAGCCAGAAAAGGACAAAGACAAGAGAAGACAUGUUCCAGGAGAUCCUGUGAGCCUCGGUGCGUUGGAUACUGAGUAGAGGGCUUGGAGGAUGACACUCAAGGACACAAUGGACAGGGAUAGUGAGGACAGGAAAAACAGGCAGCAAGAGAUGAUAGCACUUCUCAGGGAGCAAACAGACAUGCUGCAGUCUCUGACUGACCUUCAGGCUUAACAGAUCUGUUCUCACCUCCCCAUGCAGCCCACAGAGAACUGUAUUCCGGGGCAUCCCUACACAUCCCUUCCUUUACUACGUGGCAUCCGGGGCCAGUGCAGUACCCCUACCACUCCACCCUGGGGAAGAGUACAGACAAUCACAGCUGCAAAUACACUGACCUGUGAGAGACACAGUUGGUGUAUGUGUGUUUGUGAAAUGGAAAUGACUGUUCUUUCCCUUUCAGAGGUUCUUUUCCCUGUAUUUAUAAAGUUUUAUUCAGUUAUAAAUAUGUCUGUUUUCACAGGUUUGGAAUAAAAGUCUAUUU